UGAGGAAUAUUGGUCAAUGGGCGCAAGCCUGAACCAGCCAUGCCGCGUGCAGGAUGACGGUCCUAUGGAUUGUAAACUGCUUUUGUACAGGAAGAAACACUGGUUCGUGAACCAGCUUGACGGUACUGUAAGAAUAAGGAUCGGCUAACUCCGUGCCAGCAGCCGCGGUAAUACGGAGGAUCCAAGCGUUAUCCGGAAUCAUUGGGUUUAAAGGGUCCGUAGGCGGUUUUGUAAGUCAGUGGUGAAAGCCCAUCGCUCAACGGUGGAACGGCCAUUGAUACUGCAAGACUUGAAUUACUAGGAAGUAACUAGAAUAUGUAGUGUAGCGGUGAAAUGCUUAGAUAUUACAUGGAAUACCAAUUGCGAAGGCAGGUUACUACUAGUGGAUUGACGCUGAUGGACGAAAGCGUGGGGAGCGAACAGGAUUAGAUACCCUGGUAGUCCACGCCGUAAACGAUGGAUACUAGCUGUUCGAGAGCAAUCUU
This 485-nucleotide ribosomal RNA is filed under the name uncultured Bacteroidota bacterium. Its description in RNAcentral is "bacterial SSU rRNA". It matches the Rfam family "Bacterial small subunit ribosomal RNA", at positions 355 to 838 of the family's 1533-position model. The record is from RNAcentral. Lineage: Bacteria; Pseudomonadati; Bacteroidota.